RNAcentral lists this long non-coding RNA (1306 nucleotides) under Numida meleagris (helmeted guineafowl). RNAcentral's name for it is "lncRNA (ENSNMEG00000020017.1)". The record is from RNAcentral. Lineage: Eukaryota; Metazoa; Chordata; Aves; Galliformes; Numididae.
AAGAGCACUGCGUGUUGAACUGAAGACUCUGAGUACAGAAAGCCCAUUUAUAAGAGAAAUAAAGUUUGCCCACAGAUAACAUAACCAAAGUUCUUCAGGAUGAACUCUGCUCAUUCACAGCCACUACGAGGAGUUCCCUUUUGCUUUGAGUUUCAGUUUCAGUUCUGCUGUUGAGGAACCUGUUUGAGCAAUGAGCAAGCACCUCCUUGGGCUCCCUGGGAGGCACUGCUAGAAAGAUGCUCUGCUGCUGCAGGCAGUGCUUCUGUAGCAUCACUCGUGACAAUGUGCUACUGUUGCCUUGAAGGGAUGCCAGCUUCAGCACUACUCAUCUAACACCACUGAGUGGCAGAUAGCAAUGAACAACUCUGUAUGCAACAUUGUAUUUGACCAAGGAGAAACUGAUGAAUCUUCACUGUGUUCAACAAGCUAUGAAAUUUCUAGUCCAGUGCCAGUGAAACUGGGACACUGCAGCAUCAUAAACUAUCACUAUGUUGAUAACACACAGGCUAUUAACCUUCCAAAACAUUCACCUCGGAGGCUAAACUUCGCAGUACUUCAGCUUCGAUUCUGAGAAAUGUCUCUAUUCCACAACAACAUGAUAAGUGAGAGUGAAUUAAGUCCCUCGUGCAACAAAUGGUAAGCAUAUGCCAGAGCGAAGCAGGGGCUUAAACAGCUUUCUGAACUUAGUCCUUCUCAAAAGUAACAUUUUUAUUUUAGCAGGUUUGAGCAAUACCUCUUCAUCCAUCUUUAAAUAACAAGAGAAUGGCAAUAGGAGACGUGAUCAGACUGAACUUCUCUCUAUAAAAGCAUUUUAAAAUAUGGCACUUUACCAAUAGUAUUCUUGGAGGAUUUGCAAAACACAGCAGAAAUUCAGAAGAAUUGAAAACUGAGAGCUCCAAAAGAAACCGGUAGGCCUGCAAAGGCAUAUUAGUGUCCUUGACCUGAAGAAAAAGAAAGAAAGAAAAAAAAAAAGACACUCAAAAAACCUAAAUUUCUUGUGUGUGGGGGGGGGGGGAAUCAUAGAAUCAUAGAAUGGCUUAGGUUGGAAGGGACAUUAAAGAUCAUUGAGCUCUAGCCCCACUGCCCUGGGCAGGGUUGCCACCCACAAGAUUGAGCUGCCCAGGGCCCCAUCCAGCCUGGCCUUGUAUGCCUCGAACUGACAGCAGCACCACCUAAACAAGUAGUUUAUACUCUGUUAGUUGAUGGUAAUAUUUGCUUAAUAGGGCAGGUGGAAAGGGUUGUUCACAGAAAGUAGCUGAGCUGAUUAUUAAACUACUGCUACUUCAAGAGCUUAAAGUGAGUACUA